This 605-nucleotide ribosomal RNA is filed under the name uncultured bacterium. Its description in RNAcentral is "bacterial SSU rRNA". It matches the Rfam family "Bacterial small subunit ribosomal RNA", at positions 79 to 680 of the family's 1533-position model. The record is from RNAcentral.
CUUGCUUCUCUUGAGAGCGGCGGACGGGUGAGUAAUGCCUAGGAAUCUGCCUGGUAGUGGGGGAUAACGUUCGGAAACGGACGCUAAUACCGCAUACGUCCUACGGGAGAAAGCAGGGGACCUUCGGGCCUUGCGCUAUCAGAUGAGCCUAGGUCGGAUUAGCUAGUUGGUGGGGUAAUGGCUCACCAAGGCGACGAUCCGUAACUGGUCUGAGAGGAUGAUCAGUCACACUGGAACUGAGACACGGUCCAGACUCCUACGGGAGGCAGCAGUGGGGAAUAUUGGACAAUGGGCGAAAGCCUGAUCCAGCCAUGCCGCGUGUGUGAAGAAGGUCUUCGGAUUGUAAAGCACUUUAAGUUGGGAGGAAGGGUUGUAGAUUAAUACUCUGCAAUUUUGACGUUACCGACAGAAUAAGCACCGGCUAACUCUGUGCCAGCAGCCGCGGUAAUACAGAGGGUGCAAGCGUUAAUCGGAAUUACUGGGCGUAAAGCGCGCGUAGGUGGUUUGUUAAGUUGGAUGUGAAGUCCCCGGGCUCAACCUGGGAACUGCAUUCAAAACUGACUGACUAGAGUAUGGUAGAGGGUGGUGGAAUUUCCUGUGUAGCG